Molecule: ribosomal RNA, 465 nt
Filed under: uncultured bacterium
Lineage: Bacteria
Description: partial 16S ribosomal RNA
Rfam family: Bacterial small subunit ribosomal RNA
Source: RNAcentral
GACGAACGCUGGCGGCGUGCUUAACACAUGCAAGUCGAACGGAAAGGCCCUGCUUGCAGGGUACUCGAGUGGCGAACGGGUGAGUAACACGUGGGUGAUCUGCCCUGCACUUCGGGAUAAGCCUGGGAAGCUGGGUCUAAUACCGGAUAGGAGCCAUUUUUAGUGUGAUGGUUGGAAAGUUUUUUCGGUGUAGGAUGAGCUCGCGGCCUAUCAGCUUGUUGGUGGGGUAAUGGCCUACCAAGGCGGCGACGGGUAGCCGGCCUGAGAGGGUGGACGGCCACAUUGGGACUGAGGUACGGCCCAGACUCCUACGGGAGGCAGCAGUGGGGAAUAUUGCACAAUGGGCGCAAGCCUGAUGCAGCGACGCCGCGUGGGGGAUGACGGCCUUCGGGUUGUAAACUCCUUUCGCUAGGGACGAAGCUUUUUGUGACGGUACCUAGAUAAGAAGCACCGGCUAACUACGUG